Molecule: long non-coding RNA, 208 nt
Filed under: Physcomitrium patens
Lineage: Eukaryota; Viridiplantae; Streptophyta; Bryopsida; Funariales; Funariaceae
Description: long non-coding RNA (PPAT_LNC001579)
Source: RNAcentral
CAUAAGUUCUAUUGGCAUAUACCCUGUCACCGAACUAUGUGUUGUUCGAUCAGCCCAUAAUGCAAAUGACAAAAGCCAUGGCCUUUCUCUAACUUUCCAAUUACAAACUUUAACUAAUGCUUUCACAAUCGGUGGGUGACCACAUUCGCUUUUUGCAUUCCCUACCGGAUUAUAAGUAGUUGUCAGUGAUAGUUUAAUUCCACAUCUU